UAGGGAAUCUUCGGCAAUGGGGGCAACCCUGACCGAGCAACGCCGCGUGAGUGAAGAAGGUUUUCGGAUCGUAAAGCUCUGUUGCAAGAGAAGAACGUGUGUGAGAGUGGAAAGUUCACACAGUGACGGUAACUUACCAGAAAGGGACGGCUAACUACGUGCCAG
Molecule: ribosomal RNA, 165 nt
Filed under: uncultured bacterium
Lineage: Bacteria
Description: partial 16S rRNA
Rfam family: Bacterial small subunit ribosomal RNA
Source: RNAcentral